This is a long non-coding RNA of Mesocricetus auratus (golden hamster), 1352 nucleotides long. RefSeq lists it as uncharacterized. The transcript has 2 exons. The record is from RefSeq and is a predicted model, not a curated record. Lineage: Eukaryota; Metazoa; Chordata; Mammalia; Rodentia; Cricetidae.
AGGGGUCUUGUCCAUAAGGCUGCAGUACUAUAUGGGGAAAAAUGCAGAGAGCCCAGUUAUUGGUGCUCAUCUCUAAAUUCUAUUGGCAUCUCCCUCCUGUGACUUUCACUCCACCUAGAUGUUUCUGCUGUCUAUAUUCAUCCUAAUUCCCUUACUGGAAGGCACGACCCAUGCCAUGCAGCUUCAGAUCACACAGCGCCACACUCACUAAACGUUUAUCUAAUGCACAAACACCGGCACACACUAUUUUAAAAAUGAUGAGUUAAUCUCUGGUGCUAAGUGGAGGAUUUCAUUAUCUUUAUUUGCAAUAUUUGUAGGAAUCUGACUUUACCUUUUUUCCAAUAAAAAUGAUAUCAAGCAAGCAAUUUAAAAACGCGACUUAUAUAUUCAACUUAACAUCAUAAAGGAUGAGGAGCUACAGUGUUAGGAGUAAGGCCUUUAGGGUCUACUACAUACGCUCAAAUUUUGUGUGCACCCACUUUCAUGCACACAAACACACAGGUGUACCCAUGUGACAUCAUGCAGAAGGGUCAGUUGCCACCAUUUUGCUGAGUAGAAUCAGUCUCUCAGCAAGAAGCAGCCGGUUCCAGUUCUCACAAUAUAACUGCAAACCUUUGCAUAAGGCACACACUCUGCAGCUAGAUCUUCAAUUCACAGCCUACUUCACCAGUGAUGACUGUGCAGUCAUAUUUAGUGACAAGUCAUAUCCUGGCUCUAAAAAUGUCAGUGCUUGGUCACUGUGAAUCCAUUAAUGAGUUCACAUACAGACAGCAAAUAUGUAGUUCUGUGACCUCUUUGCAUCACAAUGAUAAGCCCAUGUGACAUUUUACAGACAAUGAAUAAUCAAAAUGGGGAAUUGUGAACUGGAGACAUGGCUGGGCAGUUAAGAGCACACGCUGCUCGUGGAAAGGGCCUGAGGUAGGUUCCCAGCACUCAUGUCAGGUGGCUCACAACCACUUGUAACUCCAGCUCCAGGGAUGCAACGGCCUCUUCUGGCCUCUUUGGACAUCUGCACUUGUGUGCACACAAUCUUGCCCCAUACAUAUGAUUAAUAAAAAUAAAUCUUUUUUUUCAAAGGCAGACUUGGCCAACAAAGAAACCAAAUGUGGUGUCACUGGAAUUGAGUCUGGAAUGCAGUGAAAAGUGUGCCUCGUAAGUGCUCCAAUUCAGCACUGCUCUAUCCAGCUAUGCAAACCAGAAAUCCAGGAGUCAUGCCAGACAUAUCUUCAGUUUCUCUCCCUGUCUGUCACCAAGGCCCACUGCCUUUACUCUCUCUCCUGCAUCUGAAGACAUACAUCCUUAAACUGAGCAAUCACCAUUUCCCCAGGAAUAUCAAGAGCCUUUGAACAGAA